AAAUUGAAGAGUUUGAUCAUGGCUCAGAUUGAACGCUGGCGGCAGGCCUAACACAUGCAAGUCGAGCGGUAGCACAGAGAGCUUGCUCUCGGGUGACGAGCGGCGGACGGGUGAGUAAUGUCUGGGAAACUGCCUGAUGGAGGGGGGGAUAACUACUGGAAACGGUAGCUAAUACCGCAUAACGUCGCAAGACCAAAGUGGGGGACCUUCGGGCCUCAUGCCAUCAGAUGUGCCCAGAUGGGAUUAGCUAGUAGGUGGGGUAACGGCUCACCUAGGCGACGAUCCCUAGCUGGUCUGAGAGGAUGACCAGCCACACUGGAACUGAGACACGGUCCAGACUCCUACGGGAGGCAGCAGUGGGGAAUAUUGCACAAUGGGCGCAAGCCUGAUGCAGCCAUGCCGCGUGUGUGAAGAAGGCCUUCGGGUUGUAAAGCACUUUCAGCGGGGAGGAAGGCGUUAAGGUUAAUAACCUUGGCGAUUGACGUUACCCGCAGAAGAAGCACCGGCUAACUCCGUGCCAGCAGCCGCGGUAAUACGGAGGGUGCAAGCGUUAAUCGGAAUUACUGGGCGUAAAGCGCACGCAGGCGGUCUGUCAAGUCGGAUGUGAAAUCCCCGGGCUCAACCUGGGAACUGCAUUCGAAACUGGCAGGCUAGAGUCUUGUAGAGGGGGGUAGAAUUCCAGGUGUAGCGGUGAAAUGCGUAGAGAUCUGGAGGAAUACCGGUGGCGAAGGCGGCCCCCUGGACAAAGACUGACGCUCAGGUGCGAAAGCGUGGGGAGCAAACAGGAUUAGAUACCCUGGUAGUCCACGCCGUAAACGAUGUCGAUUUGGAGGUUGUGCCCUUGAGGCGUGGCUUCCGGAGCUAACGCGUUAAAUCGACCGCCUGGGGAGUACGGCCGCAAGGUUAAAACUCAAAUGAAUUGACGGGGGCCCGCACAAGCGGUGGAGCAUGUGGUUUAAUUCGAUGCAACGCGAAGAACCUUACCUGGUCUUGACAUCCACAGAACUUUCCAGAGAUGGAUUGGUGCCUUCGGGAACUGUGAGACAGGUGCUGCAUGGCUGUCGUCAGCUCGUGUUGUGAAAUGUUGGGUUAAGUCCCGCAACGAGCGCAACCCUUAUCCUUUGUUGCCAGCGGUUCGGCCGGGAACUCAAAGGAGACUGCCAGUGAUAAACUGGAGGAAGGUGGGGAUGACGUCAAGUCAUCAUGGCCCUUACGACCGGGCUACACACGUGCUACAAUGGCAUAUACAAAGAGAAGCGACCUCGCGAGAGCAAGCGGACCUCAUAAAGUAUGUCGUAGUCCGGAUUGGAGUCUGCAACUCGACUCCAUGAAGUCGGAAUCGCUAGUAAUCGUAGAUCAGAAUGCUACGGUGAAUACGUUCCCGGGCCUUGUACACACCGCCCGUCACACCAUGGGAGUGGGUUGCAAAAGAAGUAGGUAGCUUAACCUUCGGGAGCGCGCUUACCACUUUGUGAUUCAUGACUGGGGUGAAGUCGUAACAAGGUAACCGUAGGGGAACCUGCGGUUGGAUCACCUCCUUACCUUAAAGAA
RNAcentral lists this ribosomal RNA (1551 nucleotides) under Klebsiella pneumoniae subsp. pneumoniae. RNAcentral describes it as "bacterial SSU rRNA". It matches the Rfam family "Bacterial small subunit ribosomal RNA". Lineage: Bacteria; Pseudomonadati; Pseudomonadota; Gammaproteobacteria; Enterobacterales; Enterobacteriaceae. The record is from RNAcentral.